ACUCAACGAAAGUUCAAUUAAAAAGGGUGAGUUUCGAUUGUGCGAACAAGCUCAACUAGAUUGAGAUUUUUAAGCAGUUGGUUAGCCCUAAACCUGAUAAAAUGGAGUUU
Non-coding RNA from Flavobacteriaceae bacterium TMED265, 110 nucleotides. The record is from Rfam. Lineage: Bacteria; Pseudomonadati; Bacteroidota; Flavobacteriia; Flavobacteriales; Flavobacteriaceae.